Oncorhynchus tshawytscha (Chinook salmon) is the source of this 657-nucleotide long non-coding RNA. The record is from Ensembl. NCBI's taxonomy places the organism in Eukaryota, Metazoa, Chordata, Actinopteri, Salmoniformes, Salmonidae.
GUGCGUCUGUGUGUCUGAGCGUGGGUGUGUGCGUGUGUGUGUGCGUCUGUGUGUCUGAGCCUGGGUGUGUGUGUGUGUGUGUGCGUCUGUGUGUCUGAGCGUGGGUGUGUGUGUGUGUGUGUGCGUCUGUGUGUCUGAGCCUGGGUGUGUGUGUGUGUGUGUGUGUGUGUGUGUGUGUGCGUCUGUGUGUCUGAGCCUGGGUGUGUGUGUGUGUGUGCGUCUGUGUGUCUGAGCCUGGGUGUGUGUGUGUGUGUGUGCGUCUGUGUGUCUGAGCCUGGGUGUGUGUGUGUGUGUGUGUGUGUGUGUGCAUGUUUCAGUGGUAGGGAGUGUUUUGGGCAUUACUCUGGAUGGAGAAACACAGAAGAGAAAGGAAGGAGACAGAGGAUGAUGAAGGGGAACAUGAGGAGGAUGAAGGGUAAUAGGAGGAGGAUGAAGGGGAACAUGAGGAGGAUGAAGGGUAAUAGGAGGAGGAUGAAGGGGAACAUGAGGAGGAUGAAGGGUAAUAGGAGGAGGAUGAAGGGUAAUAGGAGGAGGAUGAAGGGUAAUAGGAGGAGGAUGAAGGGUAAUAGGAGGAGGAUGAAGGGUAACAUGAGGAGGAUGAAGGGUAAUAGGAGGAGGAUGAAGGGUAACAUGAGGAGGAUGAAAGUAACAUGAGGA